Molecule: ribosomal RNA, 398 nt
Filed under: uncultured bacterium
Lineage: Bacteria
Description: bacterial SSU rRNA
Rfam family: Bacterial small subunit ribosomal RNA
Source: RNAcentral
UAUUGGUCAAUGGGGGAAACCCUGAACCAGCAACGCCGCGUGAGGGAAGACGGUUUUCGGAUUGUAAACCUCUGUCCCCUGUGAAGAUGAUGACGGUAGCAGAGGAGGAAGCUCCGGCUAACUACUUGCCAGCAGCCGCGGUAAUACGUAGGGAGCGAGCGUUGUCCGGAGUUACUGGGUGUAAAGGGUGCGUAGGCGGCUGUGCAAGUCAGUAGUGAAAUCCAUGGGCUUAACCCAUGAACUGCUAUUGAAACUGCACAGCUUGAGUGAAGUAGAGGUAGGCGGAAUUCCCGGUGUAGCGGUGAAAUGCGUAGAGAUCGGGAGGAACACCAGUGGCGAAGGCGGCCUACUGGACUUUAACUGACGCUGGGGGACGAAAGCGUGGGUAGCAAACAGGA